This 556-nucleotide long non-coding RNA is filed under the name Homo sapiens (human). Its description in RNAcentral is "novel transcript, antisense to CC2D2A". Lineage: Eukaryota; Metazoa; Chordata; Mammalia; Primates; Hominidae. The record is from RNAcentral.
GUCUCUACAAAAAAAAAGAAGUUUUAAUUUUUGGUCCUUCCUUCUCUGUUUCCUCAGACUCAUCUUCCCAAUGGCUGAAGGCUCCCUGUUACCCCUGGUGUAGUGAAUUCUAGUAGUCGUAACACAUUUCUCCGAACAGAUGAAAGGGAAGCCACGUUUUUAUGUUCACAGCACAUAUGUUUCAGAACCUUGGACAGACACCUUUUGUGACUCUCCCCAGCUCAUACCCACUUCUCUGAGAUCUGUUCCUAUCUCUGGGGCUGGUGCUUCUGACCCUGUCUCUCUGGCUAUCGGCGAUUAGACCAUGGAUCAACACCUGGCCAAGUUAGCACCUUCAGACUUCUCUGGAGAAAAUGACGCUUAAUUGGUGGUACUCUAGCUGCAUGGGCCACUUCCAUCACAUGGAGAAAAAUGAAGCAAACUCAGAGUGAGGCAAGUGAGAGACCACGGGGCCUCAGGAGAACUAUCUUAUCCCUGCAGUCUCCCUUGUAAUUCAGCUAUACCUCUUGUCCGAGUUAUUUGAGAUGUUCUUAAUAAAUCCCCUCUUUAGCCUGAA